AGUGAACGCUGGCGGUAGGCCUAACACAUGCAAGUCGAACGGCAGCACGGUAAGAGCUUGCUCUUACGGGUGGCGAGUGGCGGACGGGUGAGGAAUACAUCGGAAUCUACUUUUUCGUGGGGGAUAACGUAGGGAAACUUACGCUAAUACCGCAUACGACCUACGGGUGAAAGCAGGGGAUCUUCGGACCUUGCGCGAUUGAAUGAGCCGAUGUCGGAUUAGCUAGUUGGCGGGGUAAAGGCCCACCAAGGCGACGAUCCGUAGCUGGUCUGAGAGGAUGAUCAGCCACACUGGAACUGAGACACGGUCCAGACUCCUACGGGAGGCAGCAGUGGGGAAUAUUGGACAAUGGGCGCAAGCCUGAUCCAGCCAUACCGCGUGGGUGAAGAAGGCCUUCGGGUUGUAAAGCCCUUUUGUUGGGAAAGAAAAGCAGCAGGUUAAUACCCCGCUGUUCUGACGUUACCCAAAGAAUAAGCACCGGCUAACUUCGUG
RNAcentral lists this ribosomal RNA (492 nucleotides) under uncultured bacterium. RNAcentral describes it as "partial 16S ribosomal RNA". It matches the Rfam family "Bacterial small subunit ribosomal RNA", at positions 29 to 507 of the family's 1533-position model. The record is from RNAcentral.